RNA transcript from Crotalus tigris (Tiger rattlesnake), 2718 nucleotides. It is a transcript of the gene named nudE neurodevelopment protein 1 like 1, with no coding region annotated. The transcript is spliced from 12 exons. Lineage: Eukaryota; Metazoa; Chordata; Lepidosauria; Squamata; Viperidae. The record is from RefSeq and is a predicted model, not a curated record.
CGGGUCAGGAUCUCCACCCCCCCCGAAGGAGCGAGGGAGACGCGUUGCUCUUCUCCUCUGUGGUCGUUGGGCGGGUGAGGAAAAGGGCAGAAAUUGUAGAUCUUUUCGGGAGAGGGUCGCUGUGUCUAAGCUCUUUCGCUCCCACCCCUCGGCCAGCGCCGCCCGGUGACACUUUUCGGCGUCUUCUCCGGAUCUGCCCUUCUUCAGGACCUGCAUAAUCCGCCCUAGGUGUCUGCUAAUGCUGAAGAUUUCCGGCCGUUACCCCCGUGACUCGCCUCAGGGCCCAGGACCAACUUGUUGAUACUUAAAAUCCUCAUAACAAUAUUCUGUCAUGCUGGGAAAAUGAAAAGUGUUUUGCUGUCAGAUGGUUGCUAAGAUACACAAAUAUACUGCUGAUGUCAGAAGUCUUAUGUUUCCCCUGAGUCACUGAAACAAUUUCAAUUGCUUAGGAGGAAGAAGUGGCAGGUAAUUCUUAACAUGGAUUGUGAAGAAAUCCCAGAGUUUUCAACUUCAGAGGAAGAAGCUGCAUACUGGAAAGAGCUGACUUUAAAAUAUAAACAAAGUUUUCAAGAAGCCCAUGAAGAGCUGGCAGAAUUUCAGGAAGGCAGCAGAGAAUUGGAAGCAGAAUUAGAGGCCCAACUGGUACAGGCUGAACAAAGAAACCGAGAUUUACAAGCAGACAACCAAAGAUUAAAACAGGAAGUGGAAACCUUAAAGGAAAAACUUGAACACCAGUAUGCACAAAAUUAUAAGCAAGUGUCUUUAUUGGAAGAUGACUUGAGCCAGACUCGGGCAAUUAAAGAUCAAUUGCAUAAAUAUGUGAGAGAGCUAGAACAAGCCAAUGAUGAUCUUGAGCGUGCUAAAAGGGCCACAAUUGUUUCUUUAGAAGAUUUUGAACAAAGGCUGAAUCAAGCCAUAGAGAGAAAUGCUUUUUUGGAAAGUGAACUGGAUGACAAGGAAUCUCUGCUAGUUUCUGUACAAAGACUGAAAGAUGAAGCCAGAGAUUUAAGGCAAGAACUAGCAGUACGAGAAAGACAACAAGAAGUAACUAGGAAAUCUGCUCCUAGCUCCCCUACCUUGGAUUGUGAAAAGAUGGAUUCAGCAGUCCAAGCUUCACUGUCAUUGCCAGCAACACCUGUUGGGAAAAGCUGUGAAAACAGCUUUCCCUCUCCAAAAGCUAUUCCCAAUGGCUUUGGUACCAGCCCCCUUACUCCAUCUGCCCGAAUAUCAGCUCUCAACAUUGUAGGUGAUCUUCUAAGGAAAGUGGGGGCUUUAGAAUCCAAAUUAGCUGCUUGUAGGAACUUCGCAAAGGACCAGGCGUCACGUAAAUCAUAUGUUGCAGGAAACAUAAAUAGCAGUAUGAUCAACAGCAAUGGCAUGAAGUUCUGUCAUCCAGGACAUACAACAUUUUAUGACAAGGCCCCCUGUAGUGUUCUCCCUGCCCCCAAUUGUCGCUGGAUCCUGAAUCAGCCACGUUUGCUUGUGGACCCGACCCAAUCUGCUGCUGCUGCUGCCUUAUGAAUGGCCUAUAGUUGGGUGGUGGGACUGACUGAGGUCAGAUUCCCUACGUAUCUCAUGGGGCAGUCAACGGGUUUGACCAAGGCCCGCCACCAGGUCUAGGAGCAUCCAGACCAUCAUCUGCACCUGGCAUGCUCCCUCUGAGCGUAUGAAUGGAUUGCAAAGCUAUGAUGGGACUUGGGUUUGGUUCUUGAAGGAAUAAGAAAAAAGCUGCUUGUGAUAGUUUUCUGUUGGCACCCCCUCCUGGAGCUGAGUGGGUGUUGCAGAAUGCAGAAACUGCCCAGAAAACCAAGCACAUAUAGAGCACUCCUUGUUAAUACAGUCUAUUUUCUUCUAUUUCCAUCAUGGACAUUCUUAAAAUGGUCACCACUGAUGUCUCUCUCACAGAUUGCAGGAGUUGCACUUGCCCAAACCACUUCCUUUUUUCCAUCUCCUCUGUUUUGUGUGUUGGCUAGCUAGGGACUGCUUUGAUGCUGGGUAUCCUACAUCUUUCACAUUGUACACAAGACCCCUGGGCUCUCCCCCCACUUUUAUUUUCAGUAUAAAUCAAUUCAUUUUCAAGGGAAGGUUUCGAAACCUUCUGGCCAGUGGAUGGAUUUGGAACGAAUUUUUAACAGGUUUCUAUGAGGGGUCUUUGUACCUAGCAGCACCCUGCAAAAUAUUUGGGUUGUGGUCAUGAAGAAUAUAUGUGGCAUCUCCCUAUGGAGCAUAAUACAUUAUGCAAAUAUGCCAAAGUUGCUCUUUUCUAAAAUGGAGACAUACCCUCAGUUCAGCAAUUCCUUGGCAGUCAGCUUUAUCCUAUUAAGUUGGCUUUCCCUAUUUUUAUUUCAAGAAAACUGUGGAUUGGACUUUAGUUGUUUGGUGACAAUUGCCCAAAAGCAAAGGAAGGAGAAAGGAAUCAAAGCCAAGAAAGACUAGGGGCACAUUGCUGCUCAUAGCUUGAAUUUUGUCAUCCCUUUCCUGUGUCCCCUUUGCUGCGUUAAUUGUUUACAUUUGUUUUAUUGUACAUAGAUUUGUAAACAUAUUUGCCUAAGAUAUUUGUAUAUAACUUGGGCUUUCUAACUUUAUUUAUUAAGACUUCUGAGGCAUGUUUCCCCUAGGACAGUAUGUCAACUUUAUGUGGUGACUGCCAUCCUGUGGUUUCACAAGAGAGAUGGUCCUAAAAUAAAGAUCUUUUAAUGUGGACAUAUUUGCUUUUCA